GACGAAUUCGCUCUAUGCAAAUGGUACCGAUGAAACAUUGUAUAGAGC
This 48-nucleotide non-coding RNA is filed under the name unclassified sequences. The record is from Rfam.